This 42969-nucleotide long non-coding RNA is filed under the name Vitis vinifera (wine grape). RNAcentral's name for it is "long non-coding RNA (VVIN_LNC003375)". Lineage: Eukaryota; Viridiplantae; Streptophyta; Magnoliopsida; Vitales; Vitaceae. The record is from RNAcentral.
UUUUAUUGACUUCUGUUAGCCCCAACCCAAGUCAAUCACACCCUCUGGUCAGGAAAAUCUGAGGAAGCCCUGGAGUAAGAAUUCAUAUCCUACCUUGAUAGCGGAACGCGUUCGCCCCUUCAUCUAAACUGAAGCCAUCAAGGCCAGAAUCAAAGACCUUCCAAGAGAGAGCGGAACAUUGAUCAUGGCUUAUUACAACCCAUAUCAGUACCUCGAGUACAAUCCACCAGAUGGGUGCCCUCAAUUCUGGACAUACAAGAAGGUGUCCUUUGUCGCAUCUCUGAGCUUAAUCUUUCUGCUUAUGACUGUAUCACUUAGACCGUGGACUUUCGUGUUCAUAUCUAUGGUGGCAGCCUCACUAACCAUGUCAUUCGACUAUGAAGGUGCCUUCAUGGACUACUUUUGGAGGCUAAUUACGAUUGUUGCAUUGGUGUUCUUGUUCUGGCUCCUCAUAAGGUGUGCCCAGAAGGUGAAAAGGCCUAGAAGCAGGAGCAAUGAGGCAGAGGAUGACGAUGAGGAUGAUGAGAGCAUUUCAGUGUAUGUAUCCAUGGGUCUGAUUGCCAUUUUGGCCUUGGUCCUCACAUGGUGUGUCUAGAAGUUGCAGAGGCCUAGGAGGAGGAGGGGUGGUAUUUGAUUAACUCCACAUCCUCUCUCUGCUGCCCAGCAGCUUCUGCUUCUGCCAUGACCCCUUGAAAACCCAUCUUAUUUGCUGUUUAAUAUCAAUUGUAGGGACACUUCUACUAUUCAGAAGAAACUGCCUCCACUGCCUGCUUGCUGUUUCUUUCUUACUUAUUUGGGUGUUUCCAUUCAAAAUUUGGAGUUUGCUUAAUGGUUUGAUAAGAAGUCUUUGUAAUAUCCUACUGAAUUUGUGAAAGUGGAACUUUGUAAAAUAUCUUUUAUUAUUAUUUCCCACCUUUAGUGCUACUAAGUAUGAAGUUACGGUUGUAGAAGGAAUAGAAAUUUAGAAGGGACAGCCAAUAAUAAAGCAAGAGAAAAAGUAAGAGGGUAAUUAAAAGAAAGGGAAAGAACCGCAAUUCAUGGUUGCGAUUCUAUUUAAAAUAAUUUUUUUUAAAAAAAAAUACCGCCACCCAUGUGGAUAUCUAUAUGCCUUUUUCUUGGAUUCAAAGUCAGAGUGAUAAUUUUUUUAAGAAAAAAAAAUGAUCUAUACUAGGCCAAAACUCAAAAAAUCCAUAUGGUGUAGAAAAAUGACCCAAUUCUAAUUUCAUCUGAUUCCACCAACUCUACUAAUAGCAAAGAUAUUGUUGAAGCCUCCUUUGGAUAAUAACUUUUCUUGUUGACUCAACCUUUUUCUUCAACUUUGAAUCCUCUAUCAUUGAAGCUUGAUCUAAACAACUACAAUCUCUAAUGUCCACAAGCUUUUCCUCUAAUUAAUGUUCAUGAAUUGGAAGGUUUCAUUAUUGACACAAAGCCUUGUCAUGAGCAAUAUGUUUUAACUCAUAUUAGUGCUUUUCGAACAAAGGUUACUUAUCAUAUCAAUCUUGAUUAUAUAAAUUGAACUUGACUCUAUCGUUUUCUAGUUAGUUGAUCACUUUCCUUGAUUCUUGAAUCUAUCUAGAAUCAUAUUAUUGAUGCACUUCUUCAUAUGAGAUUUAGAGAACACUUGAACGAUUAUUCACUAUUGAAUCUAAAUUUAGAAUACUGCUACUUUAUUAUUUGUUGCAGUCCACUUGCAAAGGCUCCAUGUCAAUUGCUAACUACAUAUCGAAUUUAGGAGGAAUUGCACACUUUCUACUAUUGGUCAAGUCAUAAAUCGAUGAGAAGCUUGUCAUGUAUAUCCUUAAAGUUUUGAAUGGUGAAUACGAUCCAAUUCUCAUUAAUUUGACAUCUCAUAAUGAAGUUGUUUCACUAGAUGUAGUAUAAUUUUUGUUGCAAAGUUGAAGAUAUGUAUUGAGCAACAAAGUUAUGUUGUUUCUAAUGCACAAGAACAUUUAGCAAUGGUGGCAGAAGUGGUAGAGGUAAUGGUAGGACAACUUGCUAGCUCUGUGGUAAGGCUUGACAUGUGGUAGCAAAAUACUAUCACAAGUUCGGCAUUAACUUUACUAGAAAUACAGUUUGAAUUGUCACAGUAGGAAAGUUCACAUACCUCCCUAUAGUCAAUGAUCCAAAUUGGUAAAUAAACAGUGGUGAUACUAAUCACAUCACUACAUGCCUCAACAAUCUUACUAUCAAGGAGAACUUUAAAGGCAAUGAGAAGCCCAUUAUAAGUAAGGAACAAAAUAUUAACAUUGAACAUGUUGGUUCUACUUCUUUUGCCUCGCAUAACAGUUCCUAAUCUUUAUAUCACAAAAAUAGUUGUCAUGCACCUACCAUAAUCAAGAACUUGUUGAGUAUUUCUAAGUUUACUAAUGAUAAUAAUGUUGUUGAAUUUUACAUCGAAUAUAUCUAUAUGAAGGAAUCGGAGACAGCCACUCUUGCAAGUCACUCUUGGCCAUGGUAAAUGGGUUGUAUAAGGCAAAUGCAUCAAGUCUUCACUCAAGAUUGAAGUCUCCCUUUGCUUCUCAAAAAAAUGUUGAUUUGCCAUCGAUCUUUGAACUUAAUUGAAUCAACUAAUUCAAACUUUUCAACUUCUAUGUUCACAAAUAAAUGUCGUGGUAUUGGUUUGAAACCUUGUCUUCAUGACUUCAGGAUCACUGAACACUACUUUAUAAUAAUACUUUGAAAUUGUGUUUUGAAGACACAACUUUAAGACAAUAUACUAGAAUUGUCAUAUACACUUGCUUGAAGCUUAUUUGGCACAAAUGUCAUAAUUCUGUCAAUAGUUUUGAAGUUACCUUAAAGUUAUCAAAAAUCCUUCGAGCUCUUCCCAAUAGGUUCAUUACACCUUCUAAUCCUAAUCUAUUUUCCAAAAGUUAUAUAUUCAGAACAGUCCUUUGAACAAAAAAAAAUAAAAAAUAAAAAAUAAAAUAACCCAUCUGCAGAACAACUCUAGCGUUGCGUUUACGGCUGUUAUACGUUUCCCUAGAGGGCAUAGCUUUUCUUGACUCAUUAUCACACUAACCUGCUUCCAAUUGAUCAUAUUCAUCUUCUUUCAACACAUUGUGCCCUUGUGGCAUAAGCUUUGCUUGUGGUUAGACAAAGAACAACAAUUAUUUGAAAGUGAAACAAUGAAGAAAUGCCAAUGCAACUUUAACAAGCAGAAGUUACCCAAUUCAACAAAGAAAAGUUGAAUUAAUUCAUGCCAGGAAAGUAGAAACUCGAUGAUUCGAUGGAUGGGAAAUUCUUCCAACAAGAAAAUAUAUGUAGCUAUGGUCAGAAUCAGAGUAACAUUCCCACAGGCACUACAGUUGAAUAAAGUGCAGGUGAGUAACAGAAGGAAAGAAUGAAAGCACAUUAUGGUGGUAGAAAGUUUCCUUCAUUUUCAUCACUCAAAAACAAGCCAAUGAGCAGAAGCAGAAAUGUUUCUUUUUAAAUGAGAACCUAAAAAGACAUGAAAUGCCUUGCUGCUCGUUCAAAGGACACAAAUUAUACUCCAUAUAAGCAUGCUUACAAAACAGAUACAUUUACAAAGGAGGAAAGAAAUAUGGUGAAUGAAACCAUCAUCUUUACCUUUUAUCUCAUGGAAUGCAUAAUUGUAAACCAUCGCGGCAUUCAUCAACCUCAUAUAAUCUCAUGGAAAAUCUCCACUGACAGCAGUCACCAACCUCUUGUGGUUUCAAGGACCAGGGGUCUGAUGUCACCAUUCCCAUAGAAAAGUAACCAAUUUGGGUUAAUAUCCCUGUUCAAAUGGAUUAAAAUUGGACAAUCCACUCAGCACAGCCUCAUAGUUUCGUUUGGGAAGAUAACAUUGGGGUUCCUUAUGUGGAUCCAAAGCUGCCAAUUCCUUCCACUUAGCCCCCGUACCAUGAACACGAGAUGAGAUGCUCCAUAAGGUGUCACCAGGCUGCACUGUAGUUGUUUAUGGGGAAGUGGAUUUACUCGCCGCCUUUGACUUCAUAAAGGGAUGCUUAUUGUUCUUCCCCAUUCCAUUUUCAAGCAACCAACGAGAACCAGACUGUUGCUGAGUCGAGGUACCCCAAAGUUUCUUCUUACCAGGCUCAGUCUUUCAGGCCAGCAACAUGGACUUCAGCAAUUUUGAACUGAGGAAUGGCUUCCUCAGAAAUUUGUUCUUAUUUCUUCUCAUCCUUCAGAUCCUCCUUUGCCACUGACACAGACUCAUCAUCCUCUUCUUUACUGUUCCCCACCAGUGAAACUGUACUGUAUAUUUUUGGCUUUGGUGGAACACUCUUUCCACCUGAAUAAGAGCAAGCAUUGGCGUACCAACUGGCUCAUAGUUCCGAAGAGGAUCACGAAGCUGCACCAUUAAGGCCACUGUGAAGUUGUUCCCCAACAAACCACACUUUCUUCCGGAACCUCUGCCCCGCCUUCUCUCUCCCUUGGACCCUCCACGGAUAAAUUCUAAGGAAUUCGUAUGAUGGGCUGCAAGAAUUUUUGAAGUUCGCUCACUGAUUUGAUCUUUAUCACCAAUUUCACCAGACUCCAGCCUCAUCCAUUCAUCAAGUGUUAGUGAAAGACCCAUUAAUCCAUCUAAAUCAUCAUCAAUAUCUUUGAUGACCAACAGUUGUAAACCAGCAGCUCCCUCCAAACCAAGGGAGCCAGUGAUGUUCACCCCCUGUCCCUUCAGGGCUGAAAUUUCCCCAAUAGACUGUGCACUGACGUUCGAAGGUGCAUCCUCCUCCACCAUGCCAGUUUGGAUUCUGAGCCCUUCAAUUGAUAGAGCUUCAAUCUUAUCCAUUGCCAAAGGAGCAAGAUCUUCUAGAGAUACGUACUCUGAGCCCACAUCACUGUCUAAGGAGCUUGAAUUUAACUUAUUAGAUCUGGAAGCAGAUGAUUUUCCUUUAACUGUCUUUUGUCCACCAGUUACAUCUUGCCCAGCCUCUGAUCCAAGCUGUAAUAAAGAUUGUCUGCAUCAAUCUAAUGAGUUUUCAAGUUGUUUCCUAAUUGUUUGCAGCUAUCUCAACAGAGUUAACAUGCAUCAGUCCUCAAAGGAUGUUAGUGAUGGUAAAGAGGAUGAGGACACCCAUGAUAUUUCAAAGGAUGACAUCAUUGAUGAUGCUACAAUUAUAGACAUCUCCAAGUUCAAUGAGCAGGUAGAGGGGGGAUCAAAAUGCGCAUUACAUACUUAUACCCUCCAUUAUAUAUAUACUAGCAUUGGAUAUGGUUGUUUACUAUGAGGGGUAAGUGGCCUAUUAAAGUCCUCAAUACCUGGUACCUUGGGUGAAAACUCGGGAGUUGUCUGUGGAUUCUUAUUGAGUCAUAUAGAAGGGGAUUUCCUAAAUUAAGAAAAAAAAAAUCAAAAUAAAUUUUCUUCUCUCUUUAACUUAAAGAAAUAUGAAAUCUGAGUUUAAGAAAAAGUCUUAAGAAAAAUACUAUAAGGGGACACCAAAAUUAAGCACAUGAGGUUUAGGUGGAAAGAACCAAUCAAAGGAAAAUCAAGAGACACUAAGAGGAAUGCUAAACAUGGAUGCACGUUUAUGUAUAAAAAAGAUAAGGUGAGAAAAAUAAGAGAUUGCAUAUUUUGUGUCAUCUUGCUCAAUUCUAAGAAAUUUGACUAUUUGAGUAUCUUGUGUGUGAAACAUGUUAUGUUGAGUCAUUGUAGUUUCAUGAAUUCCAUUACAUAUUUUUCAUUCUUUUUACUCUUUCUAUUUGCUAGGGACUAGCAAAGUUCAGGUUGAAGGGGAUAAUUGGAGCCAAAAUAUAUGCUCCAAUGACGCAUAUUCAACAUGUAACCAUAAGACAUUUAAAUCAUCCAACUUGAUCAAAAUUGUUGUUAAGGUCUUAGCCAUGAGUUUAACCUACAUUUUAGAAAUUUAUCUCAGGUUUAAGGAAAUAAAAAGGUGCAAAUUGAAGCUCUUUAGAUUUUGAAAUAUCAAGAAAGGGUUUAAAUGAGGAAAUUAGCUAGUCAAGACUCAUGAACUAUGAGGAAAGGCAAGCGAACAUGGAUAAUGAGGCAUGAAGCAAAUUAAUCAAGUUGAAUAGAAAUUUAGAAAACAAAAUCUGGUGGUAACAUGUAUUGUGACUUUGAAGUGAAAUUUGGAAUGCUUCUUGAAGUCCAUUUUAGGCUAGCUAUAUAUCAUUUCAAAGCUUUGGAAGUUAGAAAUCCAACACUUCAAAUGGUGUGCAAAUUGAAGCUAAAACGAAGAAAUUAUGAUCGUUUGAAAAUAACUAUAUAGAGCUAAAUGACACAUUGCCACAUUGAUAUUUCGCCUUCUCUACUUCGGGAAUUGUAUCUUAGGCACUUUUUCCUCCCUGAGUGGGCCCCACACUACUAGAAAUCACGAUUUUAAUUUUUUUUUUUUAUAGUCAUUUUAGGUAAUUAUUUGUAAAAUAAGUGGUCAAUAGGAACAUGUCACAUGUUAUGUUUUUUGGUGGAAACCAUAAAAACUUUAUAUUUAGGUUUUCUAGGGAGUACUUGAUUUUUUCUUUUUAGGAAUAAAGAUGACUUGACGAUUCUUGGGGGGAGAGAAUGAGAUAUUGAAGGUUUUUCUUGAUUUGUUUUCUUUUUUCUUUUUAUUAUUGAAUAAAUUAUUAUUUUUAAUUUAUUUGAAAUCGAGAAUGGUUCUUUCUUAUGUUUUUAUGGCCUAUGUAUAUGAGGACAUGCCCAUAAGAGGUUAAAAAGUCAUCUUGGGGUGAAACAUGAAAACCUAGGGUUAAAUCCAAAGGGAAACAAUGGGUGAAAUCAGAUUAAUAAUGAAAUGAAUGAAAGGUUAGACCUAGGAGAUGAUACAAUCACAUAUUCCUUGAUAUUAGGGAUUCUUAGUAAUUUUUAAUCUCUAGUUAUAAGAGGUUUUGUCAUUAUUAUUUACCUUAAAAGGCAAAUCUACAUAGAGUGGUAAAAGCCUAAAAACCUUAGACCUAAACCUAGAUUUCAUAUUCAUUCAUCUAUUAGGUAAUUCAAUGGAAUAAAAUAUUAAAAGUUAGGAUACAGAUCAAUUCUGAGGUAUGACUCAGGUUGAUCUCGUUUGUCCAUGCAUUUUGAUUACCCUAAGACUAUUAAAUUAUAUGUUUUUGUUUCGAUUAAAGGUUUAUCUCAAAGUUGGAUUGUGAACCCCAAGCUUGAUUAAUUGAAUUAAAAAUCAAUAAUCAUUCUAUAAUUUUAAAUAGGUUUAUUUAGGAAAUUUUCAUCAAUAUUUUAUUUUGAUUUAUUUGAAUUAAAUAUUUUUUUACCUUUAGCAUGUAAAUAAUUAAUCCUUUGAAUUUGAGAAAAAAUAAACAUAUUAAAGUUGAUAUGAGAGGAAGACAACCUGGAAUACUACAAAGUCAUGGUAACUCUAUUUUUUAUUUUUCUUUACCAAAGUUAUCAUGUAUUUAUAUUUUAAUAUUUUAUUUACAAUAGAGAUUUACGAUCACUACUUCACCAUAUUCAUUCAAAAAAGUAGAUUUCAAAUCCAUUUGAAAAAUCUUCUUAUUAUUUUGAGUGACCAAAGAAAUGAUUAAUCUUAUAAUUUCUAAAUGAGCUUCAAUAGAGGUGUCAAAUGGGUUGGGUUGCCCAAUUUGGCCCAUUUGGCAUUUCGGGCAACACAACUGAAUUAUUGUAGCGAGUUGUGUCGGUACAACCUGAUCCUUUGGGUCAUGCUAGACCUAAGGAGAUAGCCUAUGGUAUUAUAUAUGUAUUAAGAUUUUCUAUCCUUCUGUAUCCAAAAAUGCAAGUGGUGGAAUUCAAAUAUUCAAAUUGGAAGAGCACCCAUCAAUGAACAUAUUGUGAAAGUCUGUGACUAAUCUUCUUCCCCAGGUAACUCCAUGCCUCCAAAUAGUUAACAAAAAUGUUAAUAGGAGACCAUUCUUUCUGGGUUUUUUCUUUCCAUGAAUUAAGGUUUAGCCUUAUUCAUAGUUUAGAAGUAUAUUCCAAGAGGAUAUGGAAUUUUCUCUUUUUUCCCUUCCCUUCCAUUUAAUUAACAAUGGAAAUUUUCAAAUAACUAAGUUGGAAUUAGUUCACAUUCUAACAAAUAAGAUGGUUUGAAAUUUAUUUAGCAUUUACAAAUUGAGAGGCAGCCUAUCCUUUUAUGGAAAAGGAGCGGGUGGUCCUUGUCAUAAGACAUUAGAGAAUAAGAAGAAUUCAAAACUUGUGGUCAAAUUCAAAAUUUGUGGUUGUGGAUGUUUAUUCAAUGUGAAUUAAAAGAUGAGUUUGUUCUUUUAGAAGACAGCUCUUUCACUCACUCUCUUAAAAAAGAGCUCUCUCGCACUCACAGCCUGUGCACAUAAUUUGCUUCUUUUAUAGGUUGAAAAAGCAGUUUAUAUUCUUUAUAUUUUCACAUAUAGGUGAAUUUGAAUCUCUCCCUCUCUGGGAAAAAAUUAUAGGACUGUUGCAUAACACGGUAUCCCAGCCGUUGGAUCUUACAUAUCACUACAAGGAAAGCGGGUUAUAGUUGGGGCCACAAACCCCUGCUAUAGACAAAAAUCCUGCAACUAAUCCCAUUGUUGCGGAAAAAGCUGGUCGUGACAAGAUGUGACUAGGUGGUGUAACCAAAGGCCAUAGUCACGGCCAAUAGCAUUUCCCCCACCAAAGGUGCAAAGAUAUAUAUAAGGCAGCGGCCAUGAGUAGAGUGUGAUUAAAAUUUUCACAUAUAGCUGUGGUUGUGUACCUUCCCCUACUAAAAGUUGUAUAUAGCAGCCAUUUAGUGGUGGUUAAAUUUUGACUGCCACCACAAGUUUUCUUUUCAUAUAUUUAAAAUAAUGCAUUAAAAGAAAUUUUAUGAGAUGAAAUUACUAUCCCACUUUAUAAUAAUAAAACAUUCACAUAUCCCAUUAAAGCUCUAUUGAUAUUUCUAACAUGUUUCAACAUCCCGUUGAAACUCUACUGAUAUUUCAGAUGUGUUUCAACUGUAACUACAUGAGCUUAUUGGAGAAAAAAGAAAAAGAUGAAGGAAAAAAAGGACUGAGUAUAUGAUACCCUUAGAUUGACAGUAGGGCUUGAUAUGUGCCUUUGACACAAAACAGCUCCCAGAUGAGUAUCAAAUUAAAGGCAAAAUCUCUGCUUCAUUAAUGUGGGAGCCCAUUUUUACAAAGAACUCCAUUUUCAAGCUGCAAUGUUCUAGGAUCAAGUGGAAUGGUCCCAGAGGUGAACAAACAAGAGACUCGGCAAAACCAUUAACUUUGAUCGGCAUUGAAACCACUGACAACAUCAACUGAUUCAGUUCCCACUCUUGUACCAGUAGGAGUGGGAGGAGCAGCAACCAUCGUUGGUUUUGAUUCCGCUUGCUUUAGAUUGAUGGUGAGCAAACUGAUUUUUAAGGUAGAUACGGUAUCAUCCUUUGUUUCAGCUGCAUCGCACUUCUCAUUCAUACUACUUCGAUUUAUGUCCUCGGACUUUAGGGAUACCUAAUCAAUGGCAGUGGAAGUAGGCACGGGCUUCUCUAAACUUUGCACAUCAGUCGGCUUGUUUAUCUUCUCUUCACUUGGGGGCUUCUCUAAACUUUUCACAUCAGUCUGCUUGGUUAUCUUCUCUUCACUUCGGGGCAGGUCAAUCACAAAAUCUAGCUUGAAUGCAGGUACAAAGAAUGGGCUUUCAUAGCUUUUAAGAAGCAGCUAGUUUUCUCAUCUUACAUGAUCCUCUAUCGGUUUUCAUAAUACAUAAAGUCAUCAAGUAAAGAUGUCUUUGUUGUGUGAUUUUUGAAUAUUUUCAACAUUUCCAGGCCUUGCUUAAAUCCUGUCUGCAGAAAAUUAGGAUUUAAGAAACAAAAAGCCACAUGUAAGGUCAUAUUUCAAGAAAGCUGGUAUAACUGCAACAAUACAAACCAAAACCAGUGUCCCUAAAACAAUUUUUUAUCACCUAGGCAAGACUAACCUCAUCCAAAUUUACAUUCUUGUUCGCAAAUGUGAAGCAAUAGAAGUUGUAGAUGUGAUGAGGAAAGCUAAAUGGCAGUAGGCAUGCCAUAAAGUUGAUAUGAAAUAAGAUACUGUAGGUGUAAGAUAUACUACAAUAUUCAACUUUUGAAAAGAAAUGCAAGCAACAAUUUAAGUAGAAAGACUAAAUGUACCUCUUGAGUGUCUCUACAAUUAGUCAUUGGCUUAAUGUCAUGGUUCUCUAGUAUGAUGUGCCUAAAGGUGGUAUUUGGUACGUCCUUUAUAAUGUGCCACUUGACAAGGAAGCUUCCACUCCACUUAUUUUGCUGCUAGAAGUCCAUAUCCUUAUGGAAAUCAACAGGGCCAAUCAUCUCUGCAACACCACAGAAUUGGCCACUUGCAUUGACCUGUAUGACAAAAUUGUCCCAUAAGCAGGGCCGGUGCUGAAAUCAUAUAAUCAAAAAGCAGAAAAUAUAGAGAUGCAAAAUCAAAUUAGGAGAGGAGAAAGGGUAAAACCCAAUAGUCUUGCAAAAACCCAAUAGAUUAUCAUUGCUUAUAUGUGUAUUUAUCCUUCAAUGCUCAAGGCAAAAAACAGUUGAACCUAGUGUUAUGCAUACCUAAAUAAAAACAAUUAUUAGGUUUCCUUCCCUUUUUAUAUUUCCUUCAUUUUUCCAUUCCCUUGGUAAUCCAUUUCCUUGCCAUUUGGAGAUUACAGUCAUAUAGAAAAAUCCUUCCAAUCACUAAUCAUGUGUCAACUUCUAUAUUUAUCAUUGCUAAUUUAAUUCAUUUAGGAAUAACCACUAACCAAGUACUCAUUUUGGUGUAAAAGAAGACUUGAGAAACCCUAGUGAAGCGAUUACUAUUUUUUAUAUUCAAAAGGCGAAAACAAUCAAUAAAAUAAUAACCUAAGGAAGCCAUAAUAGGUGACAUGAGCACCAUUGUAGAAAGCCACACAGUCCUUAGUGAACAUGUCGUUUAUGCACGAUACCUUGGCGUACACAGACUCUCCUAGUCCUCUGUUCCCUCUAUAGUCACAAAGUUAUUGCUCUCAUUUAAUCAUGUUUUGAGGUCAGAUAAGGUGGCAAUACAUAGUAAUGCAGUUAUGUAAAAAUGAGAUUAAGAUAGAAAUAAGUAGCUCUAAAUUCUAGUGCAGCUAGGAUGAACUCAAACCCCUCAGUUGACAUGUAGUAGGGGAAGCUAUUUCUCGUCCAUCCGAGAUUGAUUCCGAAAUAAACCUGGAAAUAUAGGUGACUAGCAUCAAACCAUACAUUCUAAGUGCACCACAGUUUUGAGUACCAUAGGGGGAAAUGGGAUAUUUACCUUUUGGAUGGCAGAUCUGAAUGCAAGGAUCGAGUCUCAUGCCCCUUGAGCAAGCUGUGACUGUAGGAACCAGCAUAAGCACCCCCACCUCGAGCUUGGAUGCCAAACAGGUCGUUCAGGAGCUUUGCAACAAAAGAUCCAUGAAGAGGCUUACCUCUUUUAUUCCCCACCUCUCUCCACAUGUAAAUUUUCCCUUUAUUUCCUUUCUACUACUAUUAGUUCUAUAUUCAUUUUCCAUGCCAUCUGAGUCAGAAUUGGCGACCGAGUAAACAAAGAACUGGCAUAUGACUACAAAAAAAAUUGAUUUUAUGACAAAUUCUACUUCACACUUUAUCCUAUGACAAUAUCACAGAAAAAUUUUGGUAUUCUAUCAACAAUAAAUUGUUUACUUCAUGUUUCAUUAACAAAACCUAAAAAGUUAUUAACUAUUCAAUGUAUGGCCCUUCAAAAUUUUCAAACAAAAGAGUUAGCCUGAAGAAAACCUUCAUAAUUUGAAAUAAUAUCCAUCCAACAUAAUAACAAAAAUAUCAUGAAUUUUAGAUAGUUAGUAAUAUGAGCUCCCAAAGUUACAGAAACUCAAAGAAUGAUACAAAGCAAAAUCAAAUUCCAUAAGAAACAAAGAAAGAGCAACACGUACAAAUAGACAAAAAGAUGAAUGAAGCUAACUUUGUUGAAAUUGGACACCUAACAAUUGAAGAGAAUUAUAGAAAUAUGCAACACACACAAAAUAAAAUAGAAUGAGAUACUCUGUCAUGCAAAGAAAAAUCAAACGAAAAUCCUCAGGAAAAAAUGUAGGAAAAGAAAUCCUACUUUCCAGAGAAAAAUUCUUUCAUUACGCAAUAGGAACUUAGAGAGAAAUUGUGGUUUUCAGAAGUGAGAAAUAAGAGAGAAAUCUGGUGUGCACUUGCAAUGGAAAUCAGAGUUAAAUCAUAGAAAAAUUAGAGAGAAACUAGAAAGAAAUUGUACCUUGGGAAGAUAUUAGGUGUGGUUUUUGUAGUGAGAAAUCAGAGAGAAAUUGCCUUGGGACAUCACACCAUAGAGAAAUCGGAGACAAAUAUGCUCUGCUGGCUAGGUUCUUGAAGUCUCAAAGUUAGAGAAGAUGUCUUGAACGAGAUGCUUUGUAGUUGGGUACUGGGACAUCUAUAAGAGUGGGGGAGCCCUAACAUCCCAAUAUCCGCAGGCAAGCCAUCAAACUAUAUAGAUGAUGACAUACUUUGGCUGCAACUAUAUAUUAAUUUUCAUUGCAAUUUUUUAAAACCUCUACUAAAACUUUGUGACUAUAAGAUAUAUUUCUUGUAGUGUAUAUACACACAUUUCCAUCACUAUAUUUAGUUGAAAAAAUAUUUAAGAAUGUAUGAAUAUUUUAAAAUAGUAAAAUAAAAAAAAAUAUUGUAAUAUUAGAGAAAAAUAUAUUUAUUUCAUGUAGAAGAUGAUAUGCUAUAACUUGAAAAAAUAAAAUUUAUUUAUUAAAAGGUGAUUAGGUCUUGGAUGGUGAUUAGUUAACAAUUAAUAAUGCAUAUUAUUUACUUAAUUACAAUAUACAAUCAUAUUCUAGUCAUAUUCUAAAGCACAACAAAUUGGGUAAGAAGAGAAUGCAACAUUUGCAGAGUUCCCCGACUCAUGUGUACACACACGAAAAUUAUAUCAGAUUGGGUAGCAUUAAUCUUUCAUACAAACUCUUUUUUGGGUCCUCUCUCAGUUUAUAAAAUUUAUAUAUCCUUCAAACAAUAAUUAAGAGGGUUAUUACCAUAAACAAUGGUGUAUGAUUUUAUUUAUUUUUAUUUACAAAGACAUCACACAGUGCAUAGGGGACAGGACAGACACGAAACACAACACACAAACUAGUAAAUAAUGGGCCCCUUAUUCACAACAAUUGCUUGCCGCUUACCUGAUCCUGAAGCAAUAUAUGAUAGCUUUUCCCACUUUACACACACACCAUAUGAGGAAGCGGAUAAUGUGAACCAACGCAACAAAGGCAAGCAGAGAGAACCACACCAACAAUGAAACCCCAACCACGUAAGUGAUAUCAGGCACCUUGUGUCCCAGUAACAUGGCUUCGGUGUCAUUAUUUGUGGGUGACAUGGCUUCGGUGUCAUCAUUUGUGGGUGCAAUGGCCAGUAUAGAAAACAUGUAGGUGAGAGCCAUGAAUGUUAAUGUUAUCGACAUGAUAAUCAUUAGAAGCCACAUCAAGAUCCUUCUCUUCACGAAAGUACCCCACUCACAACCAGAAAGACUAUGCUUAGCGAAGCAACGAAGUACACCGCGUUGCAUGCCAUGAACAGUCGGUACCCUUCAGGAUAGUUGUGGGCCAUUAUGGAGGUUCCAGCUAACAUCUUCUUACCAUUACUGCCGUCUUUUUCUUCACCCCAAACACCACCGGGAGGAUUAACUGCAGCUUGGAAAGCCAUUCCUGCGAUCAACGUUGCAGCUACCAUCAAGGCGUUACGUUUCUUCAUCGUCCAUUCUUUCUUAUUUUCACGUAUUUUCAUCUCACGGCCUUGCAAGGGUCUCGGUGCUUUUGCUUCUGUGAGAACUGCAGCUGGUAGUGGUGGUGGUGGAGAUAAUUGGGGGUUCUCAAUCACCAUGGUUAUGCCACUUUCUCCCAUGAAUUCGUGACCUAUGCCUGGUAACGCAGGCAAGUUUCUGGAACUUAAAGCUCCAGCUUUAGCUAGAGAUUCUCGGAUCUCCAUACCUUUCAAGUCUCUCGGCAUAUGUUGUAUGAUAUCUAAGGCUGUGAAGCCAUUUCCAUUCACUGCAUUUACUUCCAUUUCAGGUCUCUUCACCAGAUAUUUUGCUGUCUGCAUAGAUUUAUUUGAAAAGCAUUUAUGAACCAAAUUUCUGCUUAAUUAGUUGUCUUAGCACAAUUAGUAUUUUAAAGCUAAAUUUUAUUUUAGAUAUUUUGUCUUAAUACAAAAAUGGAAAAAAGUAAUUUAACUUUUAUCAUAAAUUUGAAAUCUAAUGACGAAUGUGCGAUCAUUCUUAUUUAGAUUUCUAAUUGACUUAUGAUUAAAGAAACGUAUCCUAUCCCAUUCUGAACGGUAGAAAAUUUAAAAGAAAGUAUUAAAGAAAGAAAAAAAAGAUAAUAAAAAUGAGAAAAAAAUAAAUAAAAUUUGAAUUCUAUGUCAGAAAAUGGAGAGUAAAAAGGAACAAAAAAAAUUUGAAGUAUGAUAAAUAAAUAAAUAAAUAAAACCAUUGAAAAAGUUCGACAAAUAGAUCGGUGAGUCAACCAGUUUAAUGCCCACUAGACCAAACCAAAAAGUUAAGUCUAUCCACUCCAUGUCUCGUGAUGGCUCAAAUAUUUGUCUUGAUAUUUGUAGAAUUAUUUUUGAAAAUAAUUUCAAAUAAUUAAAAUAUGUUAUUAGCAAAUAUAUGUUUUAUUAACAAGUUUUGAAAAAACUCUUAUAUGAAAAACUGCUUUUAAAAACAAUCCCCAAACUUUAAAUUUGUUAUCAAUCUUCUUUUGUGUUAUCUUCGCUGCGAAUCUAAGAAUGGAAAUUUUUUACCUCAUACUGUUUCAAGGCUGUAGCGGUAUGUAAAACGGUGUUGCCAUAAUCAUCUUUGGAAUUCACAAACUCCAUCUCUUGCCAAUUCAACUAACAGCUUCAGCGCUCCUAAACGGUUUUGUUUCACAGCGGAAUGCAGAAUGGUCUCGCCUUGAUCCAAUUUGUACCGAGUCACUUGUGGUCGGGCCCCAACCAGCAUCCUUGUGACCUCAACUUCGCCUUUCAUUACCGCCAGAUGGAGGGGCGUUCUUCCAUCCUCAUCACGCAUGAGACAAGCGUCAGGAUUGGAGGACAGCAGUAUGUUAACCCUCUCAACAUAGCCAUUGGCAGAAGCCAAGUGUAGAGGCGAACGCCCCCGCAAAUCCAGCGCCAUGGUCAUGUCUGGUUUGUGAGUAAGAAGAUAGCUUGCGAAGUCGAGGUGACCGAGCAUGGCGGCUACGUGGAGUGGAGUCUCAUUAAAGCAUGUGACUGCAGCUCGAGCAAGAGUGAGUGGGUCUUUUGCCAUCAACCGCUUCAAGGAAUUCACACUUCCGGUUACUAAUGCUUCAUACAGCCUUCUCUCUCUUCCCUCUACGCUAUCCUCCUCUUUUGCUAUUUUCUCAUAUUUCCUUUCCAUUUUUCCUCUCCCAGUCUCCCUUCCUUGAUUGCCAGAUUUUAGCAUUAAUCAUAGAGGCAACUAAGUGUUGGGUCUCUGGCAAACAUGUGUGAUGUUGUUGAUGCUGUGAUUGGCCUGAAAGCUUCACGUCAAUUACGCAAUGGAAAAAAGUCGCCGCCAAUCAAAUCACUUAUUUAUUUCUAUUAAAAUAACCGCCGUCCACCAAGCCACUCGAUUAUGCCUGUGGAAGCAUGUCACUUUCCAUAGCAUCAGCCAACAAGUCAUCAAACCGCUGACUAAAUGUGGUUGGUGAAAAUGUUGAAAAUUCUUAAAUUGAACGUUUUUUUUAAAAACUAUUUUUAAAUUAAAGAAAAAAAAAUAGUUUUUUAAUAUUUUAUAAAAUAAGGAUGUUUAAUAAGUUGUUUUUAAAAAUAAAAAACAAAAAACUUGUUUUGAUAAAUGGUUUUUAAUUUUUUUUUCUUUUGGUUUUAUAAAAAUACUGCUGUUCAAUUGAUAUAAUAUAUAUUGAAUUUAAUCCAAGUCUUAUUAAAAAUGGAAUAGUUUUUUAAUUACAAAUAAAUUAAAAAUAAAUAUUUUUAGUUAAAAAUGAAUAAUAAUAUUAUAAUAAAAUCAUAAAUUAUAUUUUUGUUAAAAAAAAUAUAUUAUUUUAAUAGAUGUUAGAAAUAUAAAGAUAUUAAUAUUUUCUUAAAUUUCUUUGGUUAAAAAUGAAUAAUAAUAAUAAUAAUUUUUAAUAUUAUUUUAUUUUAACUGAAUAAUUAAUAAAGUUUACCUUUAUUAACAUCUGAAUGAGUCAAGUUCUUCAUUUUAUGUAUACAUUAAGUAUUGAGUUAGGAACAUAAUAUUGUAAUAAUUUAUUACAUCGUUUUUUUGAAUUCAAAAUUAUUUUUAAAAUUUUAAAAUUAAUUAUAGAAUUUAAAUUAUUAAUUAUGUCUUACUUAAUUUCUAAUUUAUUUAUCUAAAUUCAAAAAAUAUAUUUGUAUAUAUAUAUAUGAGAAAUAUUAAAGUCAUGACUCAUAAUAUAUCAGUUUUAAUUUAUUGUUUUUUUAAUGAUUAGAUCUAUUUUUUGAGUUCCAAAUUAUUUUUAAAAAUUUGAAUUUUUUGAGUUCCAAAUUAUUUUUAAAAAUUUUAAACUUAUUAAUAAAUUUAAUACAAAGUGUCACUUGAUUUAAAAUUCAUUUUUUUAAUAAAAAAAUUUAUAAAAAUAUAAUUAUGUGUAAAAAUAUAAUAGUUAUUAUGAACCAAAUUUUAUCCAUAAAUUUUUUGUAUUGAUUUUAUUAUUAUUUGAAUUUUAAAUUAUUUUAAAAAAUUAUUAAACUCAUUAAUGAAUUCAAUGCAUAGUCUUAUUUAAUUUAGAAAUUAUUUGCCUAAUAAAAAAAAUCAGAAAAUAAGUAUUUGAAGGGGUUGUUCACGAAUUACCAUAAGCAACGGUAUAAGAUUGGGUAUGUUCUGUGGUGGAUUUGUUAUUGGAUUUUUUUUUUAAAAAAAAUAUUUUGAACAUACGUAAUAUGCCUUUAUAGUAAAUAUGAAUUGAAAAAUUAAUAAUUGAUAAAAUAAGGAUAAAUUAUAUUAUUAUGAUUAUUAUUAUUAUUAUAUUUAUAUUAAUAAUGUCAUAUGAAGGUUUUUUCCUAUCAAAUGUGUAUCCAAUACAUGAAAAGGUGUCCAUAAAGAAGGUACAAGGAAUUAGGAGUUGGCGGCUAUUUGAUCAAUGCACAUCCUCCGAGCUGCCCAGCAACUUUUAUUUCUGCCUUGACUUUAUGUAGCAGAAAUGCAGUGUCUCAGCUGGCAAGCCCUAAAUCCACUAUUGUGACAAAUUCUUUGCUCUACGCUUUGUACAUGGUAUGUGUUUUCUGGAGACACCCAAUAAAAAAGGAAUGAACAAAGACAGAUUGUAAACUAUAUUUUCUUGAAACCUCCACCAAUGGAAGAUAUGUUGGUAUUUUUAUCAAGAUUUUCUAUCUUUUAUAUCCAGAAAUGCAGCUGGCGGAGUGUAAAGAUUCAAAUUGGAAGAACGCCCAUCAAUGGACAUACUGUACAACUAAUUUUCUUAUCCAAGCAAUUCUAUGUGUCCUGAUGAUUAACAUAAAUGUCAACGAGAGAUAAUUAUUUUUGGAUUUUUCCUUUCCGUAUUAAGUUUUAUGUUGAUUCUAAGUCAAUUGGAGUCAGAUCCAUCCAAUUUUAUGGAGAUUAGACAACUUUCCUUCCUUUCUUGUGCCUCUCAUAGAAUCCGCCCAGCAGUGGUGAAACUGGGUGAACUCCUUUCCUACAUAAAAGGAUGUACGGACGGAUGGUCCGGACACACCUCUCCGAAACUUAAGUCAAGCAAAGAUAAUUCAAACUACUUAGUGAGAGAGAAAGUCAAUGUACAUAUGUGUGUGUACUUUGUUUGUGCUUCCUUGAGGGUUUAUAUAAUGUUGAUGAAAAUGUCAAUGUAGUGUUAUCUAGGCACUUUGACUUUUUUCUGUAAUGAUGAUUGUCCUGCAGGCAGGUGGGCAAUCAUCAUAAUUUUGGGUGGCUGGCAAGUGCCAUCAGCUGACGUGCUAGGGUCUUGGACCGUGCAACCGUCUGUCCUCUCAACCUAUUGAUGGUCUAGAGUUAUGUGAAACAAUUAAUUAGCAUGGACUUGAGGGCUAAAAGAGGUCUCAUCGGCCGUUCAUAUGUCCUUACGCAUGUUAGUGGGUCUUGAAGACUUGAUUGGACAGUCCUACGGGUUUGGGGAGUCUGACCUCCCCUUGUCGUCUGGCCCUGUAAAGAGAAAAGGGUCUUCUAAUGCAUGAUGUCAGAUAGAACUGGUUGUGAUCCAGAUAGAAUGGUCCGGACGGGUUGUGUACCCCAUGCUGAACAGUUAAGGAAUCUGGAUUGGAAAAGAGACACGUGGAGGGGAGCCCUCCACAUUUUAACAGCACAUGGACUUUUCUCCCUUUUUUUUCUCUUCCAUUCCCUUUCAUUUGAUCAGCAAUGAGAAUUGUCAAACAACAUAGUUGGCAUUAGUCCACACGCAUUCUAGCAAAUAAUAUGAUUUGAAAUUUAUUCCAUCAUUGUCUAAAGACAUUAAAGAAGAAUAAGAAUUUAAACCGUGUGGAAAAUUCAUAAUUUAAAAACACCAUCUAUGAUUUGGACUAAAGUAGAAUUAUCAUAGGAAAUUAAAUUUGGGUUGGUAAGAUGUCUAAUUUCGUUCAAAGGCACUGAGAUUUUAAGUUUCAUCUGGAUAUUGUAGCAAAAUUUCAUUCAAAUAUCAUCUCUUGGUAUAAAAACUAACAAACUGAUUUAUGACAAAUGUGCUUCAUAGACAAUAUCUAUAUACACUGCUUUGGUCUUGCAAUGAAUUGGUAAGGAUUUGGAAUUUUGUUGGAGUCAAAAGUCCACCAAUUUUUAAGUUGUUAAAGAGAUAAUUUUUUUAUUUCUUUGCUACAAAGUAGCCCAUAAUAUUAUUAUUUAUAUGGAAAAUUAAAUGAGUUUUGAGAUAGUAAUUAACAUAUUAGGUAUUACUAACUGGAUUUGUUUUAAUGGAAUCAAACUAAUCUUAAUCUGCAUGGGAGAAAUAUUAUCGGGUAAACUGUAGGAAGACUUUUUCUAAGGGUCCUUUUUAUUAAAUAAGUCAAAAAGAAAUUUAAAUAUUUUAUAACAACAUCAAAUAAUAGAUUAACUUCGAUUUUGUAAGAGAAUAUUUUAAAUAAUUGUGGAGGAUAAUUUUGUAGAUGAAAGUUUUUUAAUUAUUUAUAUAUAUAAAAAAAAGAAUAAUUUUAAUCCACUUAAUGAAAAAAAUAAAAAUGAAAGGAAAAUUAUUAUUUGAGUGUGUAAAUUUAUUUAAAUAAAAAAUAGAAAAGAAAUUAAUUUUUCUAAUGAAUCACUUAUUAAGAAAAUGCACUAUUAGUCGGUUAAAGUAGUAGUGGUUAAUAUGUGAAGUUGUAAAUUGGGGUCACUGUGGAAAUCUUUUAAGUCAAUCACGCUGUGGAAAAAUGCGUCGUCUAUCAAAUCACUUACUUAUUUCUGUGGAUUUGCUUGUACAGAAGUCUACGUGAAAAGAAUGUUGAAAAUUCCCAAGUACUUCCCCGAACUUCACCUGUUUCUCUUACGAAUGAUUGCCUGUAUGAUUGAUGCUAGAUUGAGAGGGAGGAUGGAAAGGUGAGAGGGAGAAUGGACAGGAAAUUUGAGGAACAACAUCUAAUGAGAAAAAAUGAGGAAGUUUAUAAUCAGAGUGCACGGGGAAGAGAGAAAAGGUUGUACGAAGCAUCUGUGGAUGGAAGCGUGAAUUCCUUGAAGCAGUUGAUGGCGGAAGAUCCACUCUCUCUGGCCCGAGCUUCAGUCACUUGCUUUGAUGAGACUCCACUCCACAUAACCGCCAUGCUUGGUCACCUUGACUUGGCAAAAGCACUUGCUUCUCACAAACCAGACAUGGCCAUGGCGAUAGACUUGCAGGGGCCUUCACCUUUGCACUUGGCCUCUGCCAAUGGCCAUAUUGAGAUUGUUAACAUGUUGCUGUCAUUGAAUUCCAAUAAAUGCCUCAUCUACGAUGAGGAUGGAAGAACACCCCUUCAUCUGGCGGUGAUGAAGGGCCACGUUGAGGUCACAAGGGAGUUGGUUAGGGCCCGACCAGAAGUCACUGGGCACAAAUUGGAUCACGGGGAGACCAUUCUGCAUUCUAGUGUGAGACAUAAUCGUUUAGGAGCCCUGAAGAUGUUAGUUGAAUCAGUAAGGAAGGCUGAGUUCAUCAAUGCCAGUGAUGAUUAUGGCAACACUGUUUUGCUUACUGCUACAACCUUGAAGCAGUUGGAGGUAAAAUUUUCGUCAAUUCUUUAGGCUCUUAUAUAUACCAAUUUGUGUAGUGAAGAUAACAUCACCAUAUUCAUUCUCAAUCUAAUUAACUAGACUACUAUAUAUUGAUCAAUCUGUGCAGACUCUAAGGUAUCUGCUCAAUGGAAAUAUGGUGGAAGUCGAUGCAGUGAAUGGAAGUGGUUUGACAGCUUUAGAUGUCAUUGAACAUAUACCAAGAGACUUGAAAUCCAUGGAAAUCCGAGAGUCACUUUCAAAAGCUGGAGCUUUAAGUGCCAGAAAUAUCGUACCUGUCAGAUAGCCCUGGUGAUCAAGAAGUCUCAAUUAGAUUCUGUAGCACAACCUCUACAUUUUCUUCCAACAGUAUUAAUUUAGGAAACGCCUUUUCAAUAUGAUUAAUGAUCUUCCAACAAUAUUUGAGGUUGUGACCGGAGCUGCAAAGAAACAAGUGAAGGAGAAGUCAUCAGUUUCAAACCAUAGCAGCAACAAAUCCAAGUCAAAAUCAAAAGUGGUAAGUUUUUUUGGGAGAAUUGUGCUUUGAGGUCAGUUUGGGACUGAUAAAUGAUAAAUGAAUGAGGAGUAUUAGUUAUCUAGUGUCAAAUAUUGUCUUGACAUGUUCACAGCUGGGGAUAAUUGAACUAGUAAGGUGUCCACUUAUGGUAACUCACUUUUAUGACUAAUUCAUAUAUGAGCUUCAAUUUAGAUAUUUGAAUGUCAAUUUUUAGCUCGACUAUCAUAGCCUGACAUGACUAUGAUAUCGAUGAUAUCUUUCCUUAUUAAUGUAUGUAGCAAAAACACAAAUAAUAUUUUUACUUUGCCCUGUCUGGAUUAUGCCUGCCCUCACUUUGUUUACAUGUUGCUGUCACAUUACUGUAUCCAUUCUGGAAACAAAACAGAGAGGAUCUGAAUCAGCUAAAUAUUCAAAGGUUGGGCAGCCAAAGGAUGAGGAAGAAGGUUUGGAUGAGGUAGAUGAGGAGGAGCAUGGAGAUACCUUGUGUGGUGCUUGUGGAGAGAACUAUGCUUCAGAUGAGUUCUGGAUAUGCUGCGACAUAUGUGAGAAAUGGUUCCACGGAAGUGUGUGAAGAUCACCCCUGCGAGGGCUGAGCACAUCAAACAGUACAAGUGCCCCUCAUGCAGCAACAAGAGAGCAAUGCCUUGAUAUAUCCCAUUUGAGGUGGGCAAAUUCUCGCCUUCUGUAAUUCCUGUGUUGAACUCAACUAACUGUUUAGUUGGUCAGAUUUUCUCUUUCUUGCUCUUUUGUCACGGUAGAUGUAUUGAAUACUAUGGUCUUAGGAAUGUUGUUAUUUGGAUGUACUCUAGUCUGCGGGUCGUGAAACAUGUUCUUUUCUAUUCUGAAUUGGAAUAUAUAUUAGUUUCUUCUCUACAGAAAAACAUCUGUACCUUAGGUGUGGUAGGCAUUGUUUAUCGUCCUCCGUUCUGUUCACAGAUAUGAAGUCUUCCGCAUUUUUACUUUCGUUUUAUUGGAUUUGAUGGCAAAAUACCCUAGAGUGCCUGCAUUUAGAAUGAUCUUAUGAUCUAGAAAUGGUAAACUGAGGCCAUUGCAUUAACAAAAUCAAUAGGAAGCACAAUGGAAAUAGGUGUAUGAAUACCACUUUUGCAGAAAAUCUAUAGUUCCCUUUCCAGUUCCCACCCAACAACCAAACUUCUGAUCCCUCUCUAGGUCUCUUGACACGUUUUUUCAGCUGGAUGCUUCUUGGUGAAUGCAUUCACACUACCCUUUCUUCGAAAGGGUCAUGGGUGUUUACCAAAUUGUCUCUUUUUUUAUUUUUUAUUUAAUACAUAGACCUUGAGACUCUCGAAUCCAAAUCUUUGGAUGCUGAUUGCAUCCAUCAUAACCAACAUCGGAUAAUCCACGGAAUUCAAUCAGUUGCAGGAAUUAAACACUGGAUCCAAUCCACAUUCAGCAGGGUGUUCACCUAACAUUUGACCCAAAACCCAACUCCAUAAUCUCACAGAUUGAGAACAAAUUCUAUUGUUAUCACAUGUAUACGCAUCAUUGUUGUUAUGGUGUUCUGGAUAGCCCUCAUAUUGGGGUUUUGAUUAUAAUUAGAUGGUUUAGUAGGGUAUUAUACAUGCGGUGAAGGACUUAUUACUUUCUUUGGUCAGCUGGAAAAAAGCAGAGAGUGGGGUUGAUGGUGGCUACUUUUUCUGAUGUCUGGUAGAUGGUGAUGGUCGAGUCAAUGCACUAAGAAAAAGGAGGUCCAAGUCAUGUAAAGCAUUCAUGUAUAUAAAUCCUCUGGAAGCUUAGAAUUAAAAAAUCCGAUUCAGUGGUUGUUACGAGUCUUAUGACCAUUAAAAAAUAAAAAAUAAGGUGUCAUGGAGACACAUCUCUGGCAUGCUACAAACAUGUUCUUCAUGCCAUGCUCUACCUUUGGAAUAUCAAUUGGGAAAAAACAUGUCUCAUACCACGUUUUACAAAUAUUUUUAUUUUUCAGUAGUUUACCAUUGAUGAAAUACUGCUUCAUAAUUGAGGGAAUUUUUUUUAAAGUGAUUUAUUUUAAUAUCGAUUCUAUAGAUGCAUUUAGGUUUUUUUUUUUUUUUUUUUUUAUUUUUUCAAAGUGAUUCUUCAUCACAGCAAUUUGCCCAAUUUUUCAGUAAACUUUUAUGAAUGCUAUGCUUUGUUAAUAGUUUGAAAGAAAGAAAAGACUGAGGAAAAAAAAAAAAAAGUAAAAAACUUUAAAAUAUUUUUUUUUUUUUUCAGAAAGUUAAUUGUCAAUGAAUAUAUUUUCAUCAAACUUUUUUCAUAAUUUUUUAAAGAAAAAUAGAGAAAGUUUUUAAUAUUUCUUUUUCUUUUUUUAGAAUUUUUUAUUUAUAGUAUUUAAAUACCAAAAAAAAAAAUCUUAAUAUUUUCAUUCAUUUUUUUAGUAUUUUUCAAGAAUCAAAACUAACUUAAAGAUUCUAUAUGAAUUCCAUAAAUAGAAUUCCUUAUUGUUUUCCCAAUUUAAUAAGCUUGACAAAUGGAUGCAAGUAUAAUCACUAGGAUUUCUUUAUAAUAAUUGUUCUUAAAUAUGUUACUUUUCUCUGUAAAUAAGGUAUGGUAGAGAUUUUUUAAGGGAAAAAUAAAUGCAUAAAUGAAUAUAUAUUUAUGAAUUCUUUUCACAUAUUAUACCCACCAAUGCCCUAAAAUCCUCAGGGUUUCUUUUUAAGGUUUGUAACAUGAAGCCCAUCAUUUUAGUCUUAAUGUCUGCUAGUUGUUUACAAACAUAAAAUUUGACACAAGAAAUCUUAAAAUUGACAGUUUUAUAAAAAUAGCUAACCCAAAAUACCAUUUUUAUAUCCAAUAAUAUCUAAUGGGAUUCUACAUAGAUUUCAUCAACUCUCCUACAUUCAAUAAUACAUGUCCUUUUUGUAAGCUAAAAUAGCAAAAGUAGCUUCCGACCUUCUUCCAUUCAAUGAAGCUAAUCUUUUCUAUCCACAACCCCUGCUUUUCUCCUUUUCCACAAAGACUAGACCAUGGAAGUUGUCUCGCAGCCUGCAUUGACCCUGGCCUAUAAAUAGAUGCCACUCAUCCCAUCCAACCCAUUAACCCAUCUGCAAUCCACACACACCUUGCUCUCCAGCUCUCCUCUCUCUUCUAGAGUUGUUUUUGGACACAAUGUCUAUGUCUAUCAAUGGUGUUUCUCCUUCAUUUCAGAGCUUUCGGCCUCCCACUCUCCCUCUACCUGUAGAGGAAGAGAACCCCUUCUGCAUAUUGGGGGAAUCUCGUCAUGUACUGGCUCCACCGCACUGGAAGAAGGCUGCUGAGGCCCUACAGUGUGGUCAUUUUGAUGAGGUGUGCGCCAUGGUGUCGCAGUUUGCACAUGCGCAAACUGUGGAUAUUCAGGGCACGGCUCUCACAGUGGCCCAGGUCACUGCUCUUGCACGUGGGGAUCAUGUUAGGGUCGCUCUCGAUGAGGCGGCGGCCCGAGGCCGCGUGACGAGGAGUGCUGAUUGGGUGGCUGAGAACAUCUCUCGGGGCACGGAUACGUACGGGGUGACUACUGGCUUCGGUGCCACUUCCCAUCGGCGGACCAACAAGACCGCUGAUCUUCAGACCGAGCUGAUUCGGUUUCUCAACGCUGGAGUGAUCGGGAAGGAGACUCUUCCGGCGAGUUUCUCCAAGGCUGCUAUGCUUGUUCGAGCGAAUACUUUGAUGCAAGGGUAUUCGGGCAUUCGGUGGGAGAUACUUGAGGCCAUGGCCAAGCUGAUAAACCUCAAUUUGAUCCCUAAACUGCCUUUGAGGGGGACCAUCACUGCUUCUGGGGACCUUGUGCCAUUGUCUUAUAUUGCUGGAGUAUUAACUGGGAGGCAUAAUUCCAAGGUUGUGACGCCUGAGGGGGAAGAAAUCACGGCCAUGGAAGCUCUGAAGAGAGCUGGAAUUGAAGCUCCUUUUCAGCUGCAGGCGAAGGAAGGUCUGGCUCUUGUGAAUGGGACUGCUGUUGGGUCAGCGGUGGCCGCAACGGUUUGUUUUGACGCCAACAUCUUGGGGCUCCUUGCGGAGGUUCUGUCUGCCUUGUUCUGUGAAGUGAUGAAUGGCAAACCUGUUUACGGAUCCACUGACUCAUGAGCUGAAACACCAUCCUGGCCAGAUUGAAUCAGCUGCUAUAAUGGAAUUUCUUCUUGAUGAAAGUGACUACAUGAAAGCAGCAAAGCUUCGUCAAGAGAAGGAUGUGUUGAUGAAGCCUAAACAAGACCGGUAUGCGCUCAGAACUUCUCCCCAGUGGCUGGGGCCUCAGAUUGAGGUGAUUCGCAUGGCAACACAUUCAAUUGAGAGGGAAAUCAAUUCAGUCAACGACAACCCUUUGAUCGAUGUCUCUCGGGACCUUGCUCUUCAUGGAGGGAACUUCCAAGGGACCCCUAUUGGUGUUUCCAUGGACAAUCUCCGGAUUGCCAUUGCAGCAAUUGGGAAGCUCAUGUUUGCUCAAUUCUCCGAGCUGGUCUGCGACUAUUAUAAUGGUGGGUUGCCUUCCAAUUUGAGCGGCGGCCCCAACCCGAGCUUGGACUAUGGCUUCAAAGGUGCUGAGAUAGCCAUGGCUGCCUACUGCUCCGAGCUUCAAUACCUGGCGAACCUGGUCACAACACACGUGCAGAGCGCUGAACAACACAAUCAGGAUGUGAAUUCUCUGGGAUUAAUCUCUGCAAGGAAGAGUGCUGAAGCAGUGGAGAUCCUAAAUCUCAUGUCUGCAACUUACAUGGUGGCACUUUGCCAGGCAGUUGACCUGAGACACCUAGAAGAAAACAUGAGGGAAGUAGUGAAACAUCUCAUCACCCAAGUAGCAAGAAAAACCCUUUACACAGAUGAAGAUGGGACGCUGCUAGAAUCUCGUUUCUGCGAGAAAGAACUCCAGCAGGUCGUCGAAAACUUGCCAGUCUUCUCCUAUAUCGACGAUCCCACUAAUCCUUCAUACACUUUUUUGCCUCAACUCCGAGAUGUACUAGUUGAAAGAGCUCUCAAAGACCCCAAAUCCACUAACUCUGCAGGCUAUUCCAUUUUCAAGCGCAUCCCCAUAUUUCAAGAGGAGCUGAAGGAGAGACUGAUUGAGGAGAUAUCAAAAGCAAGAGAAAGGUUUGAUAAUGGAGAUUUCCCAAUACCAAACAGAAUCAAGAAAUGCAGGACUUACCCCAUAUACGGAUUUGUGAGGAAAGAAGUGGGAACGAAGCUCCUUAGUGGUGAAAACAAGGUGAGUCCCGGAGAGGAUAUAGAGAAGGUUUAUGAGGCGAUCAAUGAUGGGAAGUUGGGAGAUGUGCUGAUGAAGUGCUUGUCAUUUUGGAGGGGCACGGCGGGCCCUUUCACGCCGAGGCCUAGUGGAUUGUCUUCUCCGGCGCAGUUUAAUCCGGAGUACUGGGGUUGGUUUGAGAAGCUGAGGUCUCCUUCUUCAGCUUCGAAUGGGAGAGUGAAUUGGGACCGGCUCUGAGUAGAAGGAAGGAAAAGGCAUUAAUUAGGAACAUGACCAUAACAAUUAUAAUGUUUGUUUGUAUGUUUCUGUUGUUGUUUUGUACUGGAAUUUUGAUUCCAGAUUAAAUAAAAUCCAAUUCCGACAAACAUGAUUAUGACUUCAAAAUAUGGAUAAAUCACACUGAAUAUGAGAAUCGAGAAUUUUAUCUAAACAAAAUGGGCCUUGGGCUCGGGAGAGAAAAACCCAAAGGCCAUUUUGUUUUUGCUCCCUUUCCUAACUUGAGCCGUCAAUCAUGUUUUCGAAAAAGAAAAGGAAGAGGAAACAAUACGGCUUAGUUCUCAUAUUUCUUUAAUUUCUUAUAUAUUUCACAUAUAACCUUGACAUACAAUCAAGACCUCAUCAAUUUAAUUAAAACUUAGCACCCAUAUACGUGGCACGACCCUUCCUUUUAGAUUCCAAAAGUCAAUGAUAUGGAUUGGUUCAAAAAUCAAAAUGAUCAUACGACCUUGGUUGUCUUGGUCCCACCUCUAAUCCAAAGAAAAUAUCUAGAUAGAAGGAAUGAUGUUCUUUCUCAAUAGUCUUUCCCAAGUUUACUAAAAUAUUUAAGAACCUAUGAAUAUUUUAAAAUACUAAAAUAAAAAAAUAUUUUAUUGAAAGAUAAUAUUAUAUUAAAGAAAAAUAUAUUUAUUUCAUGUAGAUUAAGAUCAUAUGCUAUAACUUGAGAAUAAUGAAAUUUAUUUAUUAAAAGGUGAUUAGGUCUUGGAUGGUGAUUAGUUACAAUUAAUAAUACAUAUUAUUUACUUAAUUAUAUCAUACAAUCCUAUUUUAGUCAUAUUCUAAAGCACAACAAAUUGGAAGUCCUUUCUAAAGGUAAGAAAAGAAUUCAACAUUUGCAAAGUACCGAGAGUCAUGGGAAACAUACACGAAAAUUAGGUCAGAUUGGGUAGCAUUAGUCUUUCAUACGAACUCUUUUUUGGGUCCUCUCUCAGUAUAUAAAAUUUAUAUAUCCUUCAAACAAUAAUUAAGAGGGUUAUUACCAUAAACAAUGGUGAAUGAUUUUAUUUAUUUUUAUUUAGAAAGACAUCACACAGUGCAUAGGGGACAGGACAGACACGAAACACAACACACAAACCGGUAAAUAAUGGGCCCCUUAUUCACAACAAUUGCUUGCCGCUUACCUGAUCCUGAAGCAAUAUAUGAUAGCUUUUCCCACUUUACACACACACCAUAUGAAGAAGCGGAUAAUGUGAACCAACGCAACAAAGGCAGACAGAGAGAACCACAACAACAAUGAAACCCCAACCACGUAAGUGAUAUCAGGCACCUUGUGUCCCAGUAACAUGGCUUCGGUGUCAUCAUUUGUGGGUGCAAUGGCCAGUAUAGAAAACAUGUAGGUGAGUGCCAUGAAUGUUAAUGUUAUCCACAUGAUAAUCAUUAGAAGCCACAUCAAGAUCCUUGUCUUCACUAAAGGUACCCCACUCACAACCAGAAAGACUAUGCUUAGCGAAGCAACGAAGGACACCGUGUUGCUUGCCAUGAACCGUCGGUACCGUCGAGGAUUGUUGUGGGCCAUUAUGGAGGUUCCAGCUAACAUCUUCUUACCCUCACCGGCGUCUUUUUCUUCAUCCCAAACACCACCGGGAGGAUUAACUGCAGCUUGGAAAGCCAUUCCUGCAAUCAACGUUGCAGCUACCAUCAAGGCGUCGAGUUUCUUUUUCGUCCACUCUUUCUUAUUUUCACGUAUUUUCUUCUCACGGCCUCGCAAGGGUGUCGGUGCUUUUGCUUCUGUGAGAUCUGCAGCUGCUGGUGGAGAUAAUUGGGGGUUCUCAAUCACCAUGGUUAUACCACUUUCUCCCAUCAAUAGGUGACCUUUGCCUGGUAACGCAGGUAUGUUUCUGGAACUUAAAGCUCCAGCUUUAACCAGAGAUUCCCGGAUCUCCAUUCCUUUCAAGUCCCUCGGCAUAUGUUGUAUGAUAUCUAAGGCUGUGAAGCCAUUUUCAUUCACUGCAUUUAUUUCCAUCUCAGGUCUCUCCACCAGAUAUUUUGCUGUCUGCAUAGAUUUAUUUGAAAAUUAAGCAUUAAUGAACCAAAUUCCUACUUAGUUGUUUUAGCACAAUUAGUAUUUUAAAGCUAAAUUUUAUUUUAGAUAUUUUGUCUUAAUACAAAAAUGGAAAAAAGUAAUUUUUAACUUUUAUCAUAAAUUUGAAAUCUAAUGAUGCAUGUACCAUUAUUCUUAUUUAGAUUUCUAACCGACUUAUGACUAAAAAAACGUAUCCUAUCUCAUUCUGAACGGUAGAAAGUUUAAAAGAAAGUACUAGAAAAAAGAAAAAAGAGAUAAUAAAAACGAAAAUAAAAUAAAAAAAUAAAAUAUGAAUUCUAUGACAGAAAACAGAGAGUAAAAUGGAAAAAUAAAAUUGAAGGAUGAUUAAAAAACCAUUGAAAAAGGUCGGCAAUUACAUCGGUGAGUCAACCAAUUUAAUGCCUACUAGACCAAACCAAAAAGUUAAGUCUAUCCACUCCAUGUCUAAGGAUGGCUCAAAUAUCUGUCUUGAUAUUUGUAGAAUUAUUUUUCAAAAUAAUUAAAAUAUGUUAUUAGCAAAUACCUGUUUUCUUAACAAGUUUUGAAAAAACUCUGAUAUGAAAAACCGCUUUUAAAAACAAUUCCCAAAGUUUAAAUUUGUUAUCAAUCUUCUUUGUGUUAUCUUCGCUGCGAAUCUAAGAAUGGAAAUAUUUUUACCUCAUACUGUUUCAAGGCUGUAGCGGUAUGUAAAACGGUGUUGCCAUAAUCAUCUUUGGAAUUCACAAACUCCACCUCUCCUGCCAAUUCAACUAACAGCUUCAGCGCUCCUAAACGGUUUUGUUUCACAGCGGAAUGCAGAAUGGUCUCGCCUUGAUCCAAUUUGUACCGAGUCACUUGUGGUCGGGCCCCAACCAGCAUCCUUGUGACCUCAACUUCGCCUUUCAUUACAGCCAGAUGGAGGGGCGUUCUUCCAUCCUCAUCACGGAUGAGACAAGCGUCAGGAUUGGCGGACAGCAGUAUGUUAACCAUCUCAACAUAGCCAUUGGCAGAAGCCAAGUGUAGAGGCGAACGCCCCCGCAAAUCCAGCGCCAUGGUCAUGUCUGGUUUGUGAGUAAGAAGAUAGCUUGCGAAGUCGAGGUGACCGAACAUGGCGGCUACGUGGAGUGGAGUCUCAUUAAAGCAUGUGACUGCAGCUCGAGCAAGAGUGAGUGGGUCUUUUGCCCUCUACGCUCUCCUCCUCUUCUGCUCUUUCCUCAUAUUUCCUUCCCAUUUUUCCUCUCCCAAUCUCCCUUCCUUGAUUGCCAGAUUUUAGCAUUAAAUCAUAGAGGCACAGAGACGACGACUUGAGGAUAUUUAAUUAUUUCAUAUCAGCUAUUCAAAUUUGUGGUUAUGAGUUCAUCUUAUUUUCCUAGUCUACUAAAUAAAUUAAUAAGAAUUCAACAUGAGUUCAUCUUAUUUUCUUAGGUGGUGUUUGUUUUUUGGCUGAAUAGAAAAAGCCAAAAUAUUUGACUUUUUCUAUUCAGUUAAAAGUAAUUUGUUAACAUCAUUUAAUAUAACUAAAAUGAACUUAUUAUCAGUAUGUUCAAUUUAGUCAUAUUAAAUGAUGUUAAUAGGUUUUUUUAGCUUAAUAGAAAAAGUCAAAUAUUUUGGUUUUUUCUAUUUAAUCAAACAACAAACACCACCUUAGUCCAUUAAAUAAAUUAAUAAGAAUUCAACAUUUACAUAAAUCUCAAACUGAAAAUAUUUUAUUCGGAAAUUGGAUUUAUUGAAUUAAAAAAAUUUUCCUAUAUAAAACCAAACAACCAAAUCUAACCAAUGAAGUGGAUGUAUUCGGUGGAAUUGGGUUGGUCAUAUCAUUAUUAUCAUUUUUGUGGGGGAAAAAAGAAAUGCUUUCCUUCCACUUAAUUCCUCCACCUGGUUUUUGGAAUAAAGAUAUAUAUAGGACUCAAAAAAGAGAUGAUAUAUAUAGGUGGCUAAUAUAUGAAGUUGUGAUUCUUGUGAAUGGGGUCCUUCACCGUGAAAAUCUUUGAGUCAAUCACGCUAUGGAAAAAUGCCGCCCCCUGUCAACUCACUUGUUUAGCAUCAACACCAGCUUUGUUGCGGUUGGUUGGUCUUGUACAAAAGUCUUGCUAAUUUUAACUACUUCCGACGACUUCACCUGUUUCUCUUAGUGGAAGAUACGUUUGUAUCUAUGUCAAGAUUUUCUAUCAGAAAUGCAGGCGGUGGAAUGCAAAUAUUCAAAUUGGAAGAGCACCCAUCAAUGGACAUACUCUAAUGCUACAUUUAGUUUUCACAAAAUACCAAGAAAAAAAAAAUCCUUUUUCAUGUCUAGCUUUGAAAAAUAUAAAAUAUAUUUAUAUAUUUUAAAUAUAUAUAAUUAAAAUUAAUUAUAAAUUUACAUAUUGUAAAAUUAUUUCCCUUUUUUAUAUUUUAUUUUACUAUAAAAUGCAAAGAAAGUUAUAUAUGAUUAAAAUUAAUAAAAAACUUAUAUAUUUUUAAAUUAUUUAAUCUUUAGGUAAAAUAGUUUAAUAAAUGAAAAAAGUUUGAAGUAUAAUAUAAAAUAACUUUUUUUUUUUUCACUUUUUCUUUUAUUUUACUUUUUUUUUUUUUUUGUUUCUUUUCCUUCAAAUAUUAAAUCAUUGAUCAAUUCACUUUUUGAGCAUGUGAAAAUUUAUUUUAAUAGAAAUAGUUAUGAUUUUAAUAAUUUGUGAUUCGAUCCAUUUCAUUAAGGAAAUAAUAACCCAACUAUUUGGUAAAGAUGCCAAAAGAAUUAGAGCAUGAACCUUACCAUAGAAAUCAAUUUCAACAUAUGACAAUUGAUUAAAAAUCAUGUUGAACUCAUUGAAAUGUGUUACCACUUAAGCACCUUCUCCCAUUUUUAAAUGAAACAAUUUCUUCAUGACAAAUACCUUAUUAUUCAUAGGUGACUUCUAAUACAAGUGAGAUAAUACCUUUAUUAAUCCCAUGUCAAAUUCUCAUUUGCUACGUUAUGGACAACAUUAUUUGACAAUGUCAAUCGAAUAACUCCCAACACCCUAUCAAGGAAACCCCAAUCACCAUUCGACAUCCUUUUUGGUUUUGUUUCUAAAAGAGGUGAAUGAAGUUUCUUAUCGUAUGGAUAAUCUUCGAUUUGCAUUCUCCAUAAAACAAAAUUUGUACCAUCAAACUUUUCAAUUCCAUGUGUUGAACCAUCUUUAUUAGCCAUCACUCUCAAUCACAAUAAAAAACUUUGAUACCAGGAUUAAAAUCAUGGUUUUAAAAAUUGGAUCGGACCAGCCAAUCUGAUUGACCGAUCACAAUUCCAAUUCGAUCCUAUCAAUUGGGUCGGAAAGUAGUCGAAUCGGAAUUAAAUUGGUUGAAUCUACCGUUCGACUGGGGAACCAAACAAACCAAAUGAUUUGAAGGGAAUCAUUUGAUUAGCAUUUUUUUUUCAACGACGCCUCCUGCUAAGUUGUUGGAAAGUCCGCCCUUUCUCCUCCCUUCCUUUUCAUAUUUUUUAUUCUUAUUUUUAUUCUUUACCUCAUGUUAUUAUUAUUAUUUUUUUAUUUUUUUAUUAUUAUUUUACUUUACGACUUUAUGAUUUUAAAACAAUUAAAUUUCAUUCAAAAAGUUCUCCGAAUAUUUUAAGUUGUUAAAGAGAUUAUUUAUUUAUUUCUUUGCUACAAAAAUAGUCCAUGAUAUUAUUGAUUGUAUAUAUGGAAUAUUGAAUGAGUGUUGGAAUAGUUAGCGUGUUAAGUAUUACUAACUGGAUUUAUUUUAUGGAAUCAAAAUAAUCUUAAUUGGGAAAAAUAUUUUCAGGGCAAAGAGUAUGAAGAAUUUUUCUAAGAGUACUUUUUCUUAAAUAAGUCAAAAAGAGAGUUAUUUUUAUCAAAUAAUACCAAUCUGAAGAUUAGUUUAAAUAUUUUAUAAUUUUGAAAGAGAAUAUUUUAAAUAAUUGUGGAGGAUAAUUUUGUAGCUGAAAAUAUCUAUUUUUUUAAAAAAAGAAUAAUUUUAAUCCACUUAAUGAAAAAAAUGAUAAUUUUAUUAUUUCAGUGUGUAAAUUUAUUUAAAUAAAAAAUAGAAAAAGAAUUAAUUUUUCUAGUGAAUCACAAAUUAAGGUAAAGUAAUUUUGCUGUAAGAAAAUUCAUUGGAUGUGUAAUUUAAAAAUGGGAGGAUAAAUAUUUAUAUGAAUUACACUUGUUUUAAUUCAAAGAUAAUAGAAAAAGAAAAUGACAAAAUGUACUAUUAGUUAGUUGACUGUGGAAAUAUUUGAGUCAAUCACGGUAUGGAAAAAUGCCGCCAUCAACUCACUUGUUUAUUAUUGGUGAAAAAUGUGGGAGAAUGUCACUAUCUAUAGACUAUAGCAUCUAGUCAUCAACGGCGGCUUUGUUGGAGUUGGUGGGUUUACUUGUACAAAAGUUUAGGUGAAAAGAAUGUUGAAUAUUCUGAAGUAUUUCCGCCGACUUUACCUGUUUCUCUUUUGAAAAUUCUUAACUACUUGGAUGACUUCACCUGUUUCUAUUAAUGCCAAUAUGACUGAUGCUAGAUCGAGAGGGAGAAUGGAAAGGAAAUUUAAGUAACAAUAUCUAAUGUGAAAAAAUGAGGCAGUUUAUAAUCAGAGUAGUAAAAUUUUAAGUUUCAUCAUGAUAUUGUAGCAAAAUUUCAUUCAAAUAUCAUCUCUUCGUGUAAACACUAACAAGUUUAUGACAAAUGUGAAUUCUCUGGGAUUAAUCUCUGCAAGGACGAGUGCUGAAGCAGUGGAGAUCCUAAAGCUCAUGUCUGCAACUUACAUGGUGGCACUUUGCCAGGCAGUUGACCUGAGACACCUCGAAGAAAACAUGAGGGAAGUAGUGAAACAUCUCAUCACCCAAGUAGCAAGAAAAAAGCUUUACACAGAUGAAGAUGGAACCCUGUUAGAAUCUCGUUUCUGCGAGAAAGAACUCCUGCAGGUUGUUGAAAACUUGCCAGUCUUCUCCUAUCUCGAUGACCCUACCAAUCCUUCAUACUCAUUUUUGCCUCAACUCCGAGAUGUACUAGUUGAAAGAGCUCUCAAAGACCCCAAAUCCACCGACUCUGCAGGCUAUUCCAUUUUCAAGCGCAUCCCCAUAUUUCUAGAGGAACUGGAGGAGAAACUUAUUGAGAAGAUAUCAAAAGCAAGAGAAAGGUUUGAUAAUGGAGAUUUCCCAAUACCAAACAGAAUCAAGAAAUGCAGGACUUACCCCAUAUAGGAUUUGUGAGGAAAGAAGUGGGAACCAAGCUCCAUAGUGGCCAAAACAAGGUGAGUCCCGGAGAGGAUAUAGAGAAGGUUUAUGAGGCGAUCAAUGAUGGGAAGUUGGGAGAUGUGCUGAUGAAGUGCUUGGCAUUUUGGAGAGGCACGGCGGGCCCUUUCACGCCGAGGCCUAGUGGGUUGUCUUCUCCAGGGCAGUUUAAUCCGGAGUAUUGGGGUUGGUAUGAGAAGCUGAGGUCUCCUUCUUCAGCUUCGAAUGGGAGAGUGAAUUGGGACCAGCUCUGAGUAGAAGGAAGGAAAAGGCAUUAAUUAGGAACAUGACCAUAACAAUUAUAAUCUUUGUUUGUAUGUUUUUAUUGUUGUUUUGUACUAGAAUUUUGAUUCCAGAUUAAAUAAAAUCCAAUUCCGACAAACAUGAUUAUGACUUCAAAAUAUGGAUAAAUCACACUGAAUAUGAGAGAAUCCAGAAUUUUAUCUAAACAAAAUGGGCCUUGGGCUCAGGAGAGAAAAACCCAAACCCAUUUUGUUUUUGCUCCCUUUCCUAACUUGAGCCGUCAAUCAUGUUUUCGAAAAAGAAAAGGAAGAGGAAACAGUACGACUUAGUUCUCAUAUUUCUUUAAUUUCUUAUAUAUUUCACAUAUAACCUUGACAUAAAAUAAAAUAAUUUUAUGAUAUUUUGUUUCUACGGAAAUUUCUCAUGUUCGGCUUCUGUGAAAAAAUAAAAUAAAAAAUAAAUAUAAUUAAUUUUUUUUAUAAAAUUGAUAUAUUUUAAGUUAUUUAAUUUUUAUGUAAAAACUUUAAAUAAAUAAAGUGAAUUUAAAAUAGAAUAUAAAAAUUACUUAUAUUCUUUCAGAAAACAGCUCUUUCACCCACUCUCUUAAAAAAGAGCUCUCUGGCACUCACAACCUGUGCAUAUAAUUUGCUUCUUUUAUAGGUUGAAAAAGCAAUUUAUAUUCUUUAUAUUUUCACAUAUAGAUGAAUUUGAAUCUCUCCCUCUCUGGGGAAAAAUUAUAGUACUGCUGCAUAACAGGGUAUCCCAGCCGUUGGAUCUUAUAUGUACACACACAUUUCCAUCAUUAUAUUUAGUUGAAAAAAUAUUUAAGAAUGUAUGAAUAUUUUAAAGCACAACAACUUGGAAGUCAUUUCUCAAGGUAAGAAAAGAAUUCAACACACACGAAAAUUAGGUCAAAUUGGGUAGCAUUAAUCUUUCAUUCAAACUCUUUGUUGGGAGGAAUAUAAUUUUUUUUUUUUUUUGGGUCCUCUCUCAGCUUAUAAAAUCUAAAUAUCCUUCAAACAAUAAUUAAGAGACAUCACACAGUGUAUAGGGGACAGGACACUCGGACACGAAACAACCCACAAACCGGUAAAUAAUGGGCCCCUUAUUCACAACAAUUGCUUGCCGCUUACAUUAUGAUAGCUUUUCCCACUUUCCGCACACACCGUACUACUUUCCGCACGCACCAUAUGAGGAAGCGGAUAAUGUGAACCAACGCAACAAAGGCAAGCAGAACUAACCACACCUCCAAUGAAACCCGAACCAUGGAAGUGAUACGAGGCACCUUGUGUCCCAGUGACAUGGCUUCGGUGUCAUUAUUUGUGGGUGACAUGGCUAUUGUGGGUGACAUGGCUUCGGUGUCAUCAUUUGUGGGUGCAAUGGCCAGUAUAGAAAACAUGUAGGUGAGAGCCAUGAAUGUUAAUGUUAUCCACAUGAUAAUCAUUAGAAGCCACAUCAAGAUCCCUCUCUUCACGAAAGGUACCCCACUCACAACCAGAAAGACUAUGCUUAGUGAAGCAACGAAGGACACCGCGUUGCAUGUCAUGAACAGUCGAUACCCUUCAGGAUAGUUGUGGGCCAUUACGGAGGUUCCAGCUAACAUCUUUUUACCAUUACCGGCGACUUUUUCUUCACCCCAAACACCACCGGGAGGAUUAACUGCAGCUUGGAAAGCCAUUCCUGCGAUCAACGUUGCAGCUACCAUCAAGGCGUCACGUUUCUUCAUCGUCCAUUAAUCUUUCUUAUUUUCACGUAUUUUCAUCUCACGGUGUGCUUUUGCUUCUGUGAGAACUGCAGCUACUGGUGGUGGUGGUGUUUGGGGGUUCUCAAUCACCAUGGUUAUGCCACUUUCUCCCAUGAAUUCGUGACCUAUGCCUGGUAACGCAGGCAAGUUUCUGGAACUUAAAGCUCCAGCUUUAGCUAGAGAUUCUCGGAUCUCCAUACCUUUCAAGUCUCUCGGCAUAUGUUGUAUGAUAUCUAAGGCUGUGAAGCCAUUUCCAUUCACUGCAUUUACUUCCAUUUCAGGUCUCUCCACCAGAUAUUUUGCUGUCUGCAUAGAUUUAUUUGAAAAGCAUUUAUGAACCAAAUUCCUGCUUAGUUGUUUUAGCACAAUUAGUAUUUUAAAGCAAAAUUUUAUUUUAGAUAUUUUAUCUUAAUACAAAAAUGGAAAAAAGUAAUUUAACUUUUAUCAUAAAUUUGAAAUCUAAUGACGCAUGUGUCAUCAUUCUUAUUUAGAUUUCUAACCAACUUAUGAUUAAAGAAAUAUUUCCUAUCUCAUAAGUAGAAAGUACUAAAAAAAUGAAAAAGAAAUAAUAAAAACAAAAAAAAGAAAAAUAAAAUAAAAUAUGAAUUAUAUGUGAGAAAACAAAGAGUAAAAAGGAAAAAAAAAUUGAAGUAUGAUAAAAAAAAUUUAAAAAAACCAUUGAAAAAGUUCUGCAAUUAGAUCGGUGAGUCAACCAGUUUGAUGCCCAAUAGAUCAAACCUAAAAGUUAAGUCUAUCCAUUCCAUGUCUCAAAAUGGCUCAAAUAUUUGUCUUGAUAUUUGUAGAAUUAUUUUUGAAAAUAAUUCCAAAUAAUUAAAAUAUUUUAUUAGCAAAUAUCUGUUUUCUUAACUAGUUUUGAAAAAAAAAACUCUUAUAUGAAAAACUGCUUUUAAAAACAAUCCCCAAACUUUAAAUUUGUUAUCAAUCUUCUUUGUGUUAUCUGCGAAUCUAAGAAUGGAAAUAUUUUUACCUCAUACUGUUUCAAGGCUGUAGCGGUAUGUAAAACGGUGUUGCCAUAAUCAUCUUUGGAAUUCACAAACUCCACGUCCUCUCCUGCCAAUUCAACUAGCAGCUUCAGCGCUCCUAAACGGUUUUGUUUCACAGCGGAAUGCAGAAUGGUCUCGCCUUGAUCCAAUUUGUAACGAGUCACUUGUGGUCGAGCCCCAACCAGCAUCCUUGUGACCUCAACUUCGCCUUUCAUUACAGCCAGAUGGAGGGGCGUUCUUCCAUCCUCAUCACGGAUGAGACAAGCGUCAGGAUUGGCGGACAGCAGUAUGUUAACCAUCUCAACAUAGCCAUUGGCAGAAGCCAAGUGUAGAGGCGAACGCCCCCGCAAAUCCAGGGCCAUGGUCAUGUCUGGUUUGUGAGUAAGAAGAUAGCUUGCGAAGUCGAGGUGACCGAGCAUGGCGGCUACGUGGAGUGGAGUCUCAUUAAAGCAUGUGACUGCAGCUCGAGCAAGAGUGAGUGGGUCUUUUGCCAUCAACUGCUUCAAGGAAUUCACACUUCCGGUUAUUGAUGCUUCAUACAGCCUUCUCUCUCUUCCCACUACGCUCUCCUCCUCUUCUGCUCUUUCCUCAUAUUUCCUUUCCAUUUUUCCUCUCCCAGUCUUCCUUCCUUGAUUGCCAGAUUUUAGCAUUAAAUCAUAGAGGCAACUACGGGGGAUAUUUUUCCACAGAGACUACGAAUGGGGUCAUUGGAAGAAUGCCUCGACCUGUCAACUCACUUCUUUAUUAUUGUGGAAAAUGCCAUGAAGCUUUGUUGUGGUUGGUUGGUUUACUUGUACAAAAGUCUAGCUGAAAACGCGGAGAAAUAUUGGUUGGUUUACUUGUACAAAAGUCUAGCUGAAAAGAAAUAUCGUCGUCAAUUUCUCCUAUUUUGUCGGGAAGUCAACGGUCACGGACCAACUGCUUCAAGAGAAUUUCCCGCGCUGGAGCCAUUGAAUCGAACCGGCCAACAAGCUCAAGUUGAGGCUUGGUUACCAGUGGACCAGAUACUCGUUUGUUAAUAUAAAAUCACAAUAUAAAUGUUAAAUUUUAUUAUUAAAUUCAUUAAUUAAUUAAUUCUAAUGAAUUUAUUUUAAAUUUUAUUUAAUUGAUUAAUAAAAAUAUAAAAACCAUCCUUAUAAUUUUCUUAACAAAUCUUUUUUUAUAUAAUUUAUAUGAUAAUUAAAUAUAAAAAAUAUAAAUAUUAAAAAAAAUCAUAUAUCAUUAUUUAUUUUAUAUUAUUAAAUACAUUUGAAUUAAAUAAAUUAUAAUUUUAAUAUUAAAUGUAUCGCCAUUUAUCUCGUUAAUCUUAUUUUUAAAAAUUACUAUCACUUUACUUUUAUUUAAUUUUGAAUGCUUUUAUUUUAAAAUAUUAAAAAAUACAAAUUUAUUAAAAAUUUACUAUAAUAUAAAAAAAUAAUGAAAUUCUAAUUUUUUAUAAAUUAAAAUUAAUUUGAUAAGAUAAAUAAUAAAUUAUUAAUAUUGAUAUAUGUCUAUUUACCGAUAUUUUUCUCCUUAAUCAUACUUAUAUCUAUUAUAUUUACAAAAUAACUUUAAUAUAUGUAUUCCUGCUUAUUUUAUUUAUUUUUGGAGUUUUUUCAAACAUUUCCAUGAAUUUUAAAUAAAUUUUGUUUGAUCGACAUUUUUAUCCAAACAUCCAUGGAUAUUUUACCAAUAUUUUUUAUAUAUCUAUAAAAUCCAAGUAUCGAUAUAUCCGUAUUUAUUGAUAUUUCAAGUCUUAGCAUCAAGUCAUCAAAACCGCCUUUGUUGUAAAACUACAUGUGGUUCAUGAAAAGAAUGUUGAAAAUUCUUAAAUAGGGUCAUGUUUUUUAAAACUAUUUUUAAAUUAUUUUUUAAUAUUUUAUAAAAAUAAGGGUAUUUGAGAAGUUGUUUUUUAAAAUUAUUUUUUUUUGUUUUGUAUUUAUAAAAAAUUGUACAUUGAAUUUAUAUAAUAUAAAUUUAAUUUAAUUCAAGUCUUAUUAAAAAUAAAUUUCUUUAGUAAGACAUGAAUAAUAAUAUUAUAAUAAAAUCAUAAAUUAUAUUUUUAUAAAAAAAAAAUACUACUUUAGUAGAUGUUAGAAACAUAAAGAUAUUAACAUAUAAUUUUUUUUUGUUAAAAAUGAAUAAUAAUAAUUUUUAAUAAUAUUUUAUUUAAAAUGAAUAAUGAAUAAAAUNNNNNNNNNNNNNNNNNNNNNNNNNNNNNNNNNNNNNNNNNNNNNNNNNNNNNNNNNNNNNNNNNNNNNNNNNNNNNNNNNNNNNNNNNNNNNNNNNNNNUUUAUUCAUUAUUCAUUUUAAAUAAAAUAUUAUUAAAAAUUAUUAUUAUUCAUUUUUAACAAAAAAAAAUAUAUGUUAAUAUCUUUAUGUUUCUAACAUCUACUAAAGUACUGUUCUCUUGUACAUAGAAGAGGUCUCUUAUGCUGUUUAUUACUUUUCUUGUCAUUGUUUUUAGAUGUUUAUCCCUAAUUUAAUUAUUAGCAUUUAUCUAUUUAUUAUUAGUUUGAAUUAGAAUAGAAUAUAGACUUUGAAUUAGAGUAGAAAUUUAUUAUUAGCUUGAAUUAGAAUAGGAAAUAGAGUUUGAAUUAUAAUAAAACUCAAUUGUAUUUAUAUAUAAAUAUUCAUCAUCGUUGAUAAAAAUAAUAUAUCAUAUUUUCUCUUUAUAAUGACUUCAUGGUCAUACGCCCAAUUUCAAUAAUGAUAUGAUACCGUGACUAACACUUUAACAUCAACCAUAAUAUAUCAUCAUAAGAUAUUAUAUUCCAUUAUUUUAAAAUAGUAUAUGCAAUAAAAUAUGUUAUAUUAUACUUAUAUUUUAAUUUAUAAAAUAAAGAAAAAAAUGAAAUACAUAUAGAUAAAAAAAAUAAUUUAUGCAUAUUAAAUAAUACAUAUUAGUAUUAUUUUACAAUAUAUUUAUAAACAUUUUUUAAUUUUUCUUUUUUAACCACAAAUUUAAUCUUUUAAUUAAAAAAAUUUAUUUUAAAAAAUAAAUACUAUAAAAUUUUUAAAAUUUUGAUAAAAAUAAAUAAGUUUAUAUACAUAACAUACAUAUGUAUAUCAAAUAUCUUAAAAGCGGACAAAGAAAAUACAAAAGAAUUAAAGAUGUCUUAUCGUAUCUAAUAUUACAUCGAGUCGAGAUGUAUAGUAACUCCAACAUGUCAUUCCGUUGACACCUCAUUGGUGUGCGGCAACAGGAUUUUGAAAAAAAACAUUAAUUAAAAGUUGUAGGAAAUAACUGUCUUACGAGGAGUCAACUUCAAUCUUAUUUAAAUUUGAAGUGGUCACCACCUACCCUCUUUUUUUGGUCAUGAUUUUAAUGGUUCUCCUUAAAAAAUCUUCGGAGUAUGUUUGAUUGUCGAAAAAUAUAAUUAAUAAAUAAAUCAAGGGAAAAAAAUAAAUUAGGAUAAAAAUUUUAAAAAUAAAUAAAAUAAUUUAAAUAUCAAAAAAAUUAAAAGCAUAUUAAUUUUUAUUUUAUAUAUAUAUAUAUAUAUAUAUAUAUAUAUAUAUAUAUAUAUAUAUAUAUAUAUAUAUAUAUAUAUUCUAAUAAAAUCAAAUAUGAGCAAAUCAUUUUUUUUUUCCUAAUAUUUCUUAAACCAAAUAUAAUCUCAAUUUUUUUCAUUCAAAUAUCAUCUCCUUGUCGAAGAUGGGGGAGUUUUUUUUUUCUUUUUCUUUUCAAUGAACUUAUUAUAGAAGAAUGAAGAUUUUAACUCUCUUUCUUAAAAAUAAAAUAAACCGCCUAUAUUUUCUUUAUCAUAAUUUUCCCAUAGUGGUUCCUCCGGAAGUAGCAAGAGGCUUUGAUUUUAUAUUGGCAAGCAACCAUGAUCAGACGACUAGUUGAGACUUGUUCAUUACUCGGUCAAUCAAUGAUAAUCAAUUUGCAAAACCUAGAAAUGUCUUUCUGAUGGAUAGAUUCAUAGAAAUGAUAUUGGUACGCCAUUAAACCAAUAAUUAAAGAUUUUCAACCCAAUAUUUAUUCAUCAAUCAAAUGGGGAUCAACAAACUUCUUAUUGACGUCUGUUAGCCCCAACCCAAGUCAAUCACACCCUCUGAUCAGGAAAGUCUGAGGAAGCCCUGGGGUAAGAAUUCAUAUCGCUACCUUGAUAGCAAACCCACAUGGGUCCCCUCAAUUCUGGACAUACAAGGUGUCCUUCCUUGCAUCUCUAAGCUUAAUCCUUCUCCUUGUAACUGUAUCACUGAAGCCAUGCCUGGAUUUUCAUUUUCAUGUUCAUUUGUAUGGUAUUUGCAGCCUUGCUAACCAUGUCAGAUGAGCAUGAAGGGGACUUCAGCGUUUACAUAUGAAGUCUAAUUGGCAUUGUUAUAUUGCUGUGCCUUAUCCGUUUCCUCAUAUGGUGCCCAGAAGUUGCCAAGGCUUAGAAUGGCAAGAAAUGGGAAUGGGGAUGAUGAUGGGAGUAUCUCAGUAUAUAUAUGGUUGGGACUAUUUGGGAUCUUUGCCUUGGCUGACUCUAUCUGCUUUCGCAUAUGGUGUGUCCAGAAGAUGCAAAGAAUCAGGAGGAGGAGAAACGUAUUUGAUUAAUGUACAUCCUCUGAGUUGCCCAGCAGCUUCUUCUUCAGCCAUGAUCCCAUGAAAACGCCACUUGUUUGAUGUUAGCCUUAGCUUGUUUUCUUAUAUCCAUCUUCUUGCUUGUUUCAGUACUUUGUCCCAUCUCCUUCCACAAUUGCACAGCUUCUGGGAACGGGGAUUUCUGGUUUUCUUCUGUCUUAAACCGAAUCAUCAUGCUCUUAUGGAAAUUAUAUCCAUGUUGGUUGAAAAAACAUUUCAGAACCAUGGAAAACUCCAAAGUGAAUUGCAUUACUCCCACAAGAAAUGAGGGAUCCCACCCCCAUAAGCUUCCUUGAUUUGCUUCUAAAUAUUUUUUGAUUUUACAAGAAUUUCUAUUGUGUAUAUCCCCGUACUGGAUUGAUGAAAAAGGAAAUUUUAAGAAACAUUUUAAGAGAUCAAACAUUUUGGUUUUAAAAAUACAUAUAUAUAUAUAUUUGAUAACCGAUGGAAUCAGAGUGUAACAACUUAUAAAUGGCAAUGCAACGAUUAGCAUGCGUAAUAUUAAGAACAGAAGAAGAUCCUCAAUGUGAGUGUUUAGCUAGGUUGCCAAUUUCGGACAAAAUUCUUAAGUGUCCCCUAACUCGGUUUACCAAUCCCUCUUCAGACCACUUGACUUUAAAGACUAAGACUUUGCUAAGAAAUCGGGGUAUGUAGCCGAGUGUGUGGUGAUUGAAUGUGAAUUAACCCUGUUUUUCAUCUUUAAAUGAGUUAAGAAAACUGAGAGAAAUAGUUUUUGGUACAAGACUUUUGUUCCCCUGUUUCUAAAUCGAUCUAAGUGUAGGGACAGAUCGAUCCAAUUAACUUAUUUUUAAGAUCAAAUUUCAGUCAUUAGAUUAAGGGUUUCUUUUUACACUUUAAAUACAAACUUCUCUCAUUUUCUAAGGUGAGACUACAACAACCGUGGAGAUAGUUGCAGUCACUCCAUGUGUUCUUCAUUUUCUCAUCUCUUUUCCUAAUUUGAGGGUUUUUUGUUGCAAAGAAAAUUCAAUUCUCUUGAUGUUUUCCAAGCUAGUUUUUAAUGGAUUUUUUUUAGCAAUAAAUUGAUUGAUUCAUUCAUUCAUUCAUAUCUCAAUCUCUCAUGCUAUUUAAGUUUGGGUACAAACACAUUUUCUUCUUGUGUGAAUUCAAGAAAAGGUCGAGAUCGAGCUUAAUGUAGACUUCAAGUGUGCUCCAAAAGAAGGUGAGAAACUAAAAGUGAAAGGUACUAGUCAAUGGUCCGGAAAGGAUUGGUUGACUUGAGUUAGGUAAAAUCUUGUAUUCAGUUUUUAUUCUUUAGAUGUUUCUGGUCGUUGGUAGGUCUGUGGUUUUUUAUCUCUUCAGAGGUUUUCUAAUUUAAAAUCUGGUUUUGAUUGUCUCUUUCUCUCUCUACACUUUGAUUUAUUUUCUGUUUUUUAUAUCAUUGAUUACUUGGUCCUCACAUGGUGUGUCCAGAAGUUGCAGAGACCUAGGAGGAGGAAUAUUUGACUAAGUCCACAUCCUCUCUCUGCUGCCCAGCUGCUUCAGCUUCUGCCAUGACCCCUUGAAAACCCAUCUUAUUUGCUGUUUGAUAGGAAUUGUAGGGACACUUUUACCAUUCAGAAGAAACUGCCUCCGCUGCCUGCUUGCUGUUUCUUUCUUACUUGUUUGGGUGUUUCUAUUCAAAAUUUGGAGUUUGCUUAAUGGUUUGAUAAGAAGUCAUUGCUUAAUGGUUCCUUGUUGACUCAACCUUUUUCUUCAACUUUGAAUCCUCUAUAAUUGAAGGCUUGAUCUAAAUAACUACAAUUUCUAAUGUCCACAAGCUCUUCCUCUGAUUCAUGCUCAUGGAUUGGAAGGUUUCAUUAUUGACACAAAGCCUUGUCAUGAGCAAUAUGUUUUAACUCAUAUUAGUGCUUUUCGAACAAAGGUUAUUCAUCAUAUCAAUCUCGAUUACAUAAAUUGAACUUGACUUGAUCGGUUUCUAGUUAGUUGAUCGCUUUCCUUGACUCUUGAAUCUAUCUACAAUCAUAUUAUUGAUGCACUACUUCAUAUGAGGUUUAGAGAACACUUGAACGGCUGUUCACUAUUGAAUCUAAGUUUAGAAUACUGCAACUUUACUAUUUGUUGCAGUCCACUUGCAAAGGCUCCAUGUCAAUUGCUAACUACAUAUUGAAGUUGGGAGGAAUUGCACACCUUCUACUAUUGGUCAAGUCAUAUAAAUCGAUGAGAAGCUUGUCAUGUAUAUCAUCAAAGUUUUGAAUAGUGAAUAUGAUCUCAUUAAUUUGACAUCUCAUAAUGAAGUUGUUU